RNAcentral lists this transfer RNA (75 nucleotides) under Vibrio phage phiKT1024. Its description in RNAcentral is "tRNA-Thr". It matches the Rfam family "tRNA". Rfam says of the family: Transfer RNA (tRNA) molecules are approximately 80 nucleotides in length. Their secondary structure includes four short double-helical elements and three loops (D, anti-codon, and T loops). The record is from RNAcentral. Lineage: Duplodnaviria; Heunggongvirae; Uroviricota; Caudoviricetes. RNAcentral also lists the same sequence under 3 other names.
GCCCUUAUAGUUUAACUGGAAAAACAGUGGAUUUGUAACCCACCAUUCUCGGGUCAGUUCCGAGUGAGGGCACCA